UACAGAGGUCUCAAGCGUUGUUCGGAUUCAUUGGGCGUAAAGGGUGCGUAGGCGGCGCGGUAAGUCGGGUGUGAAAUCUCGGAGCUUAACUCCGAAACUGCAGUCGAAACUAUUAGACUAGAGUAUAGUAGGGGUAAAGGGAAUUUCCAGUGGAGCGGUGAAAUGCGUAGAGAUUGGAAAGAACACCGAUGGCGAAGGCACUUUACUGGGCUAUUACUAACACUCAGAGACGAAAGCUAGGGUAGCAAAUGGG
This 253-nucleotide ribosomal RNA is filed under the name uncultured bacterium. RNAcentral describes it as "partial 16S ribosomal RNA". It matches the Rfam family "Bacterial small subunit ribosomal RNA", at positions 524 to 776 of the family's 1533-position model. The record is from RNAcentral.